Molecule: long non-coding RNA, 7028 nt
Filed under: Homo sapiens (human)
Lineage: Eukaryota; Metazoa; Chordata; Mammalia; Primates; Hominidae
Description: non-protein coding lnc-RBM12B-4:2
Source: RNAcentral
UUGUGAUAUAACUGGAGGUGCCUAACUACAAAACACUGGCUGCAGCUGGAAUAAAUCUCAGCGGUUCUUACAAAGCAUGGACUAUCUGGAAGAAUAGCAAGUUAUUUCUGUCUUUUUCUGCAUGUUUUCUUUACUUCUUUCCAAGAAACCUGUAUUUACAGGAUCUUUCCUCUUGGUAGGUACCUGUUUGAUAUAUCAGUUACAUCAAUUAGUUACUUCCCCUGGUUCCACAGUUCUCUCCAGACUGUUCUCUCCACAAUAAUGGCAUAAUAAUAGUUUAUGCCUGUGGUUCAUUGAACACGUGCUCGUGCCCUAUACUGUGCUGUUUUGUUUUUGUUUUUUUCCAUGACAUGCCAUGAUUCUCAACUGUGUUGUUUUAAAUACACUGUUCUUUCUUCACAACAGUCCUGCCUCAGGACCUUGGUAUAUCUAUCUAUGCCCUCUACCUGAAAGUUUUUGCCAGGCAUCCUCCCAUGCAUCCCUCAAGAUUCUAAGAAAUCACUCUGAUUCUCCAGACUAUUUGUAACCCUCCAUCACACACAACACUUUUUUUUUUUCUUUAUAGGACUGGUCAUAUAAAAAAAUCAUUACACAGUUUUUAAUGUCUGAAUUCCCUGGUAGAUUUAAAGUUACUGCUUUGACAACUUGGACUGUUUCUUAGAAUGCUACAUCCUUCACACUUAGAAUGGUGCUUGGUGCAUAUGAGGUGCUCAAUAAACAGUUGUUGAACAAACACUAUAUGAGGUAAGUACUACAGUAUCUCCAUUUUAGAAAGGAGGAAGCUGAAGAGCGAAGAAGUUAACUUGCUCAGUAUUACUUCACUAGAAAGUAGGGGAGUUGAUAUUAAAAAAAAAUCUACCACAUAUUCCGGAGACCUUUAGUUUUACAUAGAGCUCUUCUCCCACAAACUACUUAGAUGGCUGAUUAAGAGUACUGGUAAAAAGUUAUAAAGGAAGUGGUGUGACAAAAAAAUAUCUAGGACCUCUGGGAUGAGGAGGAAAACCUUGGGGACUGAAGGGCUUGAAGGAACUUUAAGGUCAGUUAACAAAUGGUAUGUCAAAGGUAUUAUACAAAGAAGAAUGAAAAUACUUAUAAAGUGGACUACAGUCUUGAAGGAGAAUUGGGGGAUCACUUUUGAAGCUGCCACUAAAUGCAGUGUUACUUCUUGCAGGAAAUGGUUAAUGCCACUCAUCAAGAACCAUACUUCUGGAAGUCUAAUGUAGAGAGGAUUAAAGCAUAAUGGGCCUUGUAGUCAGACUUCCGGAUCAGACUUCCAGCUCUGCUACUUACUAGCUAUGAGAUCUCUGGGAAGUUUCUUAACCUCACUGUGCUUCAGUUUUCUCAUCCACAGAAAUCAGAAAUAAGUACUUUUAUCAAAGUUAUUGAGAGGAUUAAAAUGAUAUAGUUAAAAUGCAAAGAUCAGUAGCUGACUCAAAGUAAUUAUAUAAACGUUUGCUAUUUUAUUAUUUUAUAAAUGACAGAUGAAAGCUUGAUAAUCAAGUUUUUUUUUUUGGAUGGAGUCUCACUCUGUUGCCAGGCUAGAGUGCAGUGGCAUGAUCUUGGCUCACUGCAAACUCUGACGCCCGGAUUCAAGCGAUUCUUCUGCCUCAGCCUCCCGAGUAGCUGGGAUUACAGGCGCGUGCCACCAAGCCUGGCUAAUUUUUGUAUUUUUAGUAGAGAUGGGGUUUCACCAUGUUGGCCAGGCUGGUCUCGAACUCCUGACCUCAGGUGAUCCACCCGCCUUGGGCUCCCAAAGUGCUGGGAUUGCAGGUGUGGGCCACUGUGCCUGGCCUUCAUAAUCAAUUUUUAAAAGCAGGACAUGAAAAGGAGUGAAAGUUAAGAAACCUUAGCUGUAGUGUUUGGAAUUAACACUUGGGAAGUCAUGAUUGACAAAUAGAGAAAUAUAAAUAUGUAUAUAUAACUGAUAUAAAACAAAUUAGAUUUUGACAUUAGAAACACAUAUACACAUACUGUAAUAUGUACUUUCUUCAUUCUCUUUAACCUAUAUUCUGGUUUUAAGUUUCCUGGAGCCCGUGGAGUAAUGGGACAGGAAGGCUCAGAGGGUCUCUUUACUGAUAGUUAAGAUACAAAAAAAACUAGGCCAGGCGCAGUGGCUCACGCCUGUGAUCCCAGCACUUUGGGAGGCCAAGGCGGGCGGAUUAUGAGGUCGGGAGUUUGAGAGCAGCCUGGCCAACAUGGUGAAACCCCAUCUCUACUAAAAAUAGAAAAAUUAGCCGGGCAUGGUGGCAGGCACCUGUAAUCCCAGCUACUAGGUAGGCUGAGGCAGGAGAAUCACUUGAACCCAGGAGGCGGAGGUUGCAGUGAGCCGAGAUCGCACCACUGCACUCCAGACUGGGUGACAGAGCAAGACUCUGUCUUGGAAGGCGGGGGAAGAUACAAAAAAAAAAAAAAAAAAUCGGGGGAAUCUUCAAAUUUGUUAAGUGGUAGACACUUCCAUAUUUUAUUAAUACAGAACUCUUGUUAUAUGUGGGAUUACAUGGCUUUUUUCACUUCUAUAUUAGAGAUGAGAUGGGGAAAGUAUGUCUUGAACAGUUACUUCAGCAUAAAUACUUUCGUACCUUCAUUUUUUCCGUUUGGAAGGUAAGAGGGUUGGAUAUUUACAGAAUUGCUCAUUGAGGACCAGUCUUUGAUAUUUACUUGCUCUAAUGUUAGUUGGCCAAUCAGAAUUAUUUGCAUUUAACUAAAACCAUCAGCAUAAAGCAAGCUUACAUAACCUACAUUUAUUUCAUAGCUUAGUGAUUACAUUACACAGUCAGUCAGAAUCCUGAUUCUGCUAUUUACUAGCUAAGUGGCCACAAAUAAGUUAUUUAAAUCCUCUAAGCCUGCUUCUGUAGUUGUAAAAUGAGAGUUAUAGCAGCACCUACCACCUAAGAUUUUGAGGUUUGAAUGAGAAAAUGCAUGUAAAGCUUUGGGCAUUGUGCAUGAUGUAAACACUCAAAUGUUACUGAAGUCAAUAAAUGUUAACUAUUUUUUAGCACACUUCAGUGGGCUUAUAUCACCAGUCAAAAUGAUACACAGUAUUUUAUUUAAUGGCUUUAUGUAAAUUAUAUUUUACUAGCUAUUAAUAAAUUAACUCUUGGAACUUUUGCCAUGGUUAAUUUGAAAAAUUGAAAAUAAAUGGAAAAUCAUAAAAGUUCAUCUAUUUUGGAUUACACAUAAUAACCACUAUAGUGUUCAAAGUUAAGAUACUAAUCAUGGCUGGGCACGGUGGUUCAUGCCUGUAAUCCCAGCACUUUGGGAGGCCGAGGUGGGCGUAUCACUUGAGAUCAGGAGUUCAAGACCAGCCUGGCUAACAUGGUGAAACUGCAUCUCUACUAAAAAUACAAAAAUUAGCUGGGCAUGGUGGCGGGCACCUGUAAUCCAAGCUAGUUAGGAGGCUGAGGCAGAAGAAUUGCUUAAACCCACGAGACGGAAGUUGCAGUGAGCUGAGAUCACACUACUGCACUCCAACUUGGGCAACAGAGUGAGACUCUGUCUCAAAAAAAAAAAAGAUAUUAAUCACAUACUAAUGUUCUCUUUUAAAUAUUUCCACAUUAACAGAAGAACUGAGCUUAGAUAGACAUAGUCCUACCUCUAAAUCUUCAUCUUCAUCAAUGUUUUGUAUAUUCUGGUAGGCAGCAGUGUAGACCUCUAAAGCUUUGCCGUGAAAUAACAUUUCGAUUGUGAUAAAUUCAGAAAAUAUAGUCUAAAAAAAACCAAAGAAUUGAAUUUAAACAAUGAUUUAAAUUUCUUUAUGAAUAUAGUAACUUUAUUCCUCACUAUAGUCUUGGUAUUUUAUAAAAUACAGAAGUAUCUGUUUUUCUAUAGGGUAAAUAAAGUACAAAAGAUAACUGAAAAACAGUUGUGAAGACCUUUUGCUGCCAAACCUUCAAAUAAUACAAAGUAUUUCCUUUAUCACCAUCCACUUCCCUCUUAUUUUUUAUUUUAGUUAGUUCUCUUUAUACCUAGUAAUUGACAUUUAUAAUAACAUAAGAUCUGACUAAAAUGUAUGCUACUAUAUAAUUUUAAUACCAUAUGCUUAUUAAGUAUUAGAGCAGUUCAGUUAUGAAGCUGGUGUUUUAGCAAUUCCAACUGAUGUUUAAACAGGAGAACGUUUUUUAAACAGGAAUUAUGUUCCACACUGUAUGCUACUUGUAUUCUCUAAACAUAAAGGAGUUACUUGGUAGUAAUGACACUCCUGCCACUGAUGAUAACACCAUAUAUUUGCAUAGAGCGUUCUAGUUUACAAAUAUUGACUUGCCCAGUGUUGCUCACAGGUCAGACUCUUUAGACACAGAUCUGAUUCUAAGGCUACAAGGUUAUAGCUCAUUUAAGGUUUUUUUGCUAUUGCCCACUGAACUGUGCUGUUCUUGCCGGAAUCAAUCAUUUCCUUCACAGAUAAACCGUGCAGGUAACCUCUAUAAGCAUGAUGGAAACCUAUGACAAGGAAGAUCAUGAACAAAGAGUAUGAGUGAAGAUGUGCAUGUUGAUCUAAGCAGGGGGUGAGGUAAUCAGUAGGUGUGGAAAAGAUGGAAACCAGGCAAGUUUUUAAUAAAUAUGAUCUUAUCAUUUUGUUAAUUAUAACAAAAUAAGCAAUGUAGAGAGAACUGGGCUGAAUAAGAACAAGGCAGAAAAUACUCAAGCAUGGAUUAUAUUAGUAGGCAGUAGUCAAAUACACAUUUUCCUUCAUCCCUGCUCUCCUAAGAUAACCCAGAAAGGAGUGGUCAUAUACUUUGGAGGAUAGCCAUAUAGAUACUUAUCAGUGGCCUGUGAUUCUUUCCUCCAGCCCCAUUCUUCCUAGAUGAUUGGAAAAACACUUAAGGGAGCAUUAAGAGGCUCUGAUUGCUACUCAGUGAUAUACGUCAGUCUGAGAGGACAGGGCCUAGGUAAAAAAGACUUGUAACGAUGAUUCACAAUGACCCUUACUGUCACUUCAUGUAAGUUAUAGAGGGCUCAGGUAUACCAGGCUGGCAACUGAUGGAUAAACGGCAUUAUGCUAAAAUACAAUUUUGGAUUUCAUAUUAAAGUAUCUCUAGAUACCCAGGAAUACCUUAGAGGAGGAAUGGCUUCUGACCAGGGCUGGGACCUACUCUUAGUUGUUAGUGUCCUUAUGAUAGUUGCAAACCAGAAAGGAGUCAGGUUUUCUUGAGUGUGGAAACUCCUAGAGGGAAAACUGAACGAAGAGUCGAUGACAAGCCAAUACACCCAUUUUUAAUGCUCAAGAAGUAAACUAGCCAGGCACAAUGGCAUGUGCCUAUAAUCCCAGCUACUUGGCAGGCUGAGGGAGGAGGUUCCCUUGGGUCCAGGUGUCCCAGACCAGCUUGGGCAACAUUUGGAGACUUCUGUCUCAACAAGAACAACAAAGUCAACUAGCUAAAUUGGAUGUAAUGACUAACAGUAAAGCAUCCAUCUUGUUUGAUUAACAAAAGAGAUCUUUAACGAAAAGGUUUUAAGAACAUUUUCGCAAAGAGGAAAUGACAGCUCUCCAGCGUAUAGGAUAUUCAAUAAAGGAUGUAAGAGAACUGUUUAUCCAUUUGAAAAUUAAAGUUAUAUAUCCAUGUCGUACCACAUGCAAAACACAGCUGCCAGCUAAAUAUUUAAUGUUUAAAGUAUUUUAAAAAUCAAGAAAAUAUAAGCAAGUAUUUAUAUAACCUAGGGGAUGAAAACCUUUCUAAGCAUGACACCAAGGAAGAAACCAAAGAUAAGAAGAUGGAUUUGGCAAUAAAAAGAAAACUUAGAGGUGGCAAAAACACUAAGCAGUAAAAUGAGAAAAUACAUUUGCAACAUACUUUCUCUUUAAUUUGAAGGGCUAAUUUUCUCAAUAUAAAGAAUUUUUAGAAAUUAGUAAGAAAUUCCAACAUCCAACAGAAAUAUAGGUUAAGGAAAAAUAUAAUUUACUAAAGGAAUGUAUCGCUAAAUACAUUUAAAAAGCUCAGCAGUAAUAACACAAAUGAUACUGAUUUUUUACCUAUUAUUAAAAAUACUGCAACUUAUGGUGUCAACAUUGUCAUAUUAAAAAAAAAAAACAACAAACACAGGCCGGGUGCAGUGGCUCAUGCCUGUAAUCCUGGCACUUUGGGAGGCCGAGGCAGGUGGAUCACCUGAGGUCAGGAGUUCUAGACUACCCUGGCCAACAUGGUGAAACCCUGUUUCUACUAAAAAUACAAAAAUUAGCUGGGCAUGGUGGUGCACGCCUGUAAUGCCAGCUACUUGGGUGGCUGAGGCAGGAGAAUCACUUGAAUCCGGGAGGCAGAGGUUGCAGUAACCCAAGAUCAUGCCACCAUACUACAGACUGUGUGACAGAGCGAGACUCUGUCUCAAAACAACAACAAAAAAACAAACUCACCAUUGUACCUGUGCUUAUGCAAGGUUUAGUAGGAACGUAAAUUGGUUUAACCUUUGUGGACAGAAGUUUUAAAAAUAUAUAUUAAAAUUAAAAGUAUGCUCUGAAGGAGGAACUCCACUUCUGGUAAUUUAUCUCAAGAGAAUAACUGGGCCAGCACAAAGGCUGCUGUUUAACAAUGUGUAAUGAUGCAGUGACAGCUACAAUUGCAAAAAUAACCUAGACAUUCACCAAUGAGGACUGGUUAAAUGAACUAGUAUAACCAUACUGCAGAAUAUCAUAAAGAUAACAAAAAAAUGAUAUGGAUCUGUUUCUUGGCAUAAAUAUAUCCAUAAGUUUUAAGAAGAGAUGCUAUAUAUACGGUGGUCCCAUUGAUGUAUAACUGUUAGGACUAAAAAUAGUACCUUCCUCAUAAUGAUGUUUUGAGGAAUUAAUGAGUUUAUUCAUGCAAAAUGCUUAGAAUGGUACCUGGCACACAGACAAUGUUUAAGAAAUGUUUGUUAUUGUUAUUACUAUGUCUCUGUAUAUAUGCAUAGGAAAAAUCUGGAAGGAUAAAAUAAAAAAUGAAUAUUUUUGGGUGGUGAGACUAAAUUUUUGUCUAAUUUUAUGGAUAAGUUUUAUGAUUUAUAUUUAUAAUAAAAAUAAAGCUAUAAAAAUUAAUUAUGAUGUUUCUUGCUCAUGUCAG